UGUAAGGAACACAGGAAGGAAUUGAAAAAGACUGACCAGGACUCCAGGACCCUCAAUCCUGUUUGACUUGGGUGGUUCUAGCUUGCGCUGUUAACAGACACCCUUUUCAUUCAGGUGAUAAAGUAACCAUGGCAGAUACCAAAAUUCCCAAGAAUUGCACACAACACCAGACCUUCUUUAUCGCAGAUAUAGCGACCAGAGCAGAUAAAGAAAAGAAAAGAGAAAAAGAGAGACGAUCAUGGCAGAACAACCAUGGCGGAAACCAAAAUCUCUACCAAUUUCCGAGAAAGAACCAAGGAAAUGGCGAAAUUGAUCAAAGCCUAUCAUCAUCAUCUAUGGAAAACUGACCCCUCCGGAAGAACCCCGAGAAAUAUUAGAACGCAGGAACAACUGAUCCGUACAAUCACGCCUGCCUUCGCCAACACCAACAUUCUCAAAGCAGGGAAUGCCCUGAAUUGGUCCCACACAUCGAUGCAGAUAUUAUACGAACACUAUGAAACAACAAUAGCAGAUAGUGUAACCAAACUUUCAAAAGCCCCCAAAGAAGAUUGGGAAAACUCCUUAAAAUGGCUAUUAAGUGGGCUCAAAAAAACGCAUAACUCAGAUCACCAUUAAAAGAAGCCUCGGCUCACAUUCUCGACGUCCUACACCCUACUCAACCCACCGCCUCGACAUCCAGCCAAACCGAACCAGAAAAAAUGCCCAUCCCGAAUAAACCGGCCCAAGCUGAACCAGACUCCCCAAAAUCGGCACGCCAUUUCUACUACUGGGCAACUCCAACAUGUCCAGAAUACCAUUUAUCAAUCACGCCCCGGUACAAGUCGAUUGCUUCCCAGGGGCCAAUCUCAGCCACCUACUCAAAAAUAACACACCCACGGAUGAAGGGUAAAAAACGUUAUCCUAUCUUUUGGGAUUAAUAACAAACAUAUCCAGCAGAGUCCACCUCAAAAAUGACCUACAGGCUAUGCUCACUAACUGACACAGAACAGGAGGCACUAUUAGAACUUACAAAAAAAAACACGAUCUGGUACUAAAACCAGCUGACAAGGGCAGCGCACUGGUUAUAAUGGAUAAAACAGACUACAUUAAAGAGGCACUACGCAAAUUGACGGACACCAAUUACUACAUCCCGCUAACUCAAUCUAUGAAAGAAAAUACUGCCACAGAGAUAGCACAGAUUCUCGAGACACUAGUGGCAAAACGACACCUAACCAAAGAACAGAGCAUUUAUCUGAAGGGGCAAACACCCCAUAGAUGCAGACUAUUUUAUAUGCUUCCAAAAAUUCACAAACCACAUGAAGCAUGGAAAAACAACAUACCACCAGGUAGACCAAAAGUCUCGGAUUGUAGCAGCGAAAGUUAUGGGGUUGCUGAAUACCUUGAUUCUUUUCUCACACCCCUUUCCAACAGACACCCGAGUUACUUAAAGGAUACUGCAGACUUCAUUGAUAAACUCUGCCAAAUAACUGAAAAAUGUAAACCAUUCACUAUGGAUGUAGAGAGCCUAUAUACCAACAUUGAGAUUCCAUUGGGCCUAUCCGCAGUCCAAAAAUGGUUCCAAAAAUACCCUGACCCAAAUAAACCAGAGGAAGAAAUACUUCAACUCCUUGAGAUCAAUCUGACUAAAAACAAUUUUAUUUUUGAUGAUAAAGUAUAUUUACAAACCAUAGCAAUGCAUAGGCAUAGCAAGGCAUAGCAAUGGGCAAGAAAUUUGCCCCGGCAUACGCCAACAUUUAUAUGGCGGAUUGGAAGGAUACUGUUUUCCCCAAACACAAAAAGAAACCGCUAAGAUAUUUCCGAUAUCUCAACGACAUCAUUGGCAUUUGGACGCACUCGGAGGAGGACUUCAAUGAGUUUGUUCAAACCCUCAAUGAACAUCAUGCCUCUAUCCAACUUGACCCUACUCUACACGACCUGGAAGUUCAUUUCUUGGAUGUAACAGUUUACAAAGGACCCAACUUUUUGAACACAGGGGAACUUGACACCAAAGUAUAUUUCAAGCCCACAGAUACACGCCCUAUUGCACAAAUGCAGCUUUCACCCAAAAAACAUCUUCAAGGGGAUUUACAAAUCUCAACUGAUCAGGUUUAAUAGAAUCUGCAGUAACCCCCAGGAUGAAUUCAAGACAGUUCAUACCCUUAACAAAACACAGACAAAGAGGAUAUCAGAGGUCCUUCCUCAGGGGUAUUCAAAAACAAGGAACUACGAAAGUACAACAAAAAAGUGUGUAAGGUCACACACUGACAAUCCACACUGUUCAACUCUGUUCAUAAUUCUGUUUGUGAUGGUCUUGCUAUUUUCCACAAUGAGGUGAGUCUAGUUGUAAUUAUGCUGUAUACAUGGUGAUGCUUGGAGAUGUGUAGGCCCACUUUAAUUCCCCCACACUGCCUUUUUUUUCCUCUUAGAGUCAUACUGACUGGGGCAUAUUAUAUGUUGUCCCGAUUUUGGAUGACACUCUUACCAUUUUUCAACACUAUUUAUAGUAUAAUUCGGACUUAACAUUUCAUUUUCAGACACAGAAUGCAUUUCUUUGCACUAUAGUGGUGUGUUGCCCACCAUGAAAGUGGUUGUUGUAUGGCUUCCCUGAUUAAAAAGUGCAGUUUGUGGCAUUUAUAAAAUGCUUGGGGUGAAACUUUCAAUACAUUUAUGUAACUGAUAAAGUGCUGAGUGCAAAGUUUACAAUAAUUCACAUGAUUUAUUCAUUUUUUACAUUUAAAACCUUUUGGUUGUAAAGUGCAAAGUGCAAUUAAUAAUGGUUUGAUUUUGAUGGGCCACAUAUCCUCCUCCUGUUUUUUUGUCCGAGUUAAAACCAAAUUCAUUAAGAUUAAAAAAAUGUUUUCAUGUUAAUCAUAGUGAUAAUUCAUUCCAUGUAUAUUCACAAUGUGUUCAAAAUGUUUGUUUACAAUUGUAUAUAGGCCUAUGUCUAUGGUGUGAAUACACAUAUAUACACAUUCACGGGAGCUUCCAAAUUCGCCCUUUCCAGCCCAAUUCAAUUCAUAGGAAAAAAAACAUACAAUUUUUCUAAAAAAACAGCGUCCUUGAACACAACAUCCACAAUCAUUGGAUUUCAUUGGUUUCCAUGCUAACGCUGGCCGUAAACAGGAAGCUCCUUAGGUGUGGAGUGCUACUCGCGCUUCUUCUCACUUCAGACACCUUUAUGGAAAAAUACAGUCAUUCCUUGUUGUCUUAACAGGCUGAUGAAGACUUACUCUGUUGAAACGCGUCGCUGUGCCUUUUUAUUUUUAAAAUAAAAGUUCUGACAACUGACCAUCACACCUGAGGACUUUUCAGUCAACUCCAACUACAGUUUGUAUAGUUAUUACUAUUAUUUUUUCCUUGCUACGCUGAGUGGGGAUUGCAACGACACACCAACAUGGAUGGCCGCUGCUUCUACCCUGAGGACGACUGGGACGAGGGACCUGAGUGGUGUACGUUGCGGUACCGCAGAGGCUGAAUGAUUAGCCGUGAUUACGGCGGCCCUCCCGCCCGUUACUUGCCCUCUCACGUCCAAUAUGAACCAGCUAACUACCGUAUUAGCAAUGAGCCUCCAUAUAGCACUACUGUCCAGACUAGCCGCUAUGCUAACGAACAAGCUAAUAGCUAUGGACACUCCGCUAGCAGGUCUGCUAACAGUACUAGCCACAGCUAUGCUUAUAACAACCAGGCUAGCUACUAUAAUCAUCCACCCAGCGUUAGCUACAGCCGACCUAGCUAUGCCGAAGCCGCUAGGCCCGCUAGCUUCAGCCCCCAAUGUCAGGUUUACUUUGACCACGAGCCUAUCGAACACCGCUCUAACCCUGACCACACCACCCGCGGAGCUAGUGGUGUUGGCGGCCAGCAAAACAACAAUAACUGCCACCAGGCCAGCAACAAUAGCCGUGCAACUCAAGGGCAAAGCGGCUCUCGUUCACGCUCUCGGCCUAAAGAGGGGCGCCCACAGCAACAGAAACGAGGGUCUGAUUGCAAAAAUAAGUGGGCUAAUAAGAACAAAAAUCAACAAAAAAAACCUCGAACAAAUCAAAGAAACCAAAAAAAAAAAAACAACACUAACAAAAAGCAGCAACAACCCCAACAGGCUGCACAGCGUUCACCAGACCCGGACUUUACUGUCA
Molecule: long non-coding RNA, 4112 nt
Organism: Perca fluviatilis (European perch)
Lineage: Eukaryota; Metazoa; Chordata; Actinopteri; Perciformes; Percidae
Exons: 3
Source: RefSeq, a predicted model, not a curated record